RNAcentral lists this signal recognition particle RNA (95 nucleotides) under Mycoplasma tauri. RNAcentral's name for it is "Mycoplasma sp. Zaradi2 Bacterial small signal recognition particle RNA". It matches the Rfam family "Bacterial small signal recognition particle RNA". Rfam says of the family: The signal recognition particle (SRP) is a universally conserved ribonucleoprotein involved in the co-translational targeting of proteins to membranes. The record is from Rfam by way of RNAcentral. Lineage: Bacteria; Bacillati; Mycoplasmatota; Mollicutes; Mycoplasmatales; Mycoplasmataceae.
UAUAAAAGCCGGAGAAAUAAUAACCUUAUAACUUGGUCAGGACAGAAAUGGAGCAGCCACAUUAAGAAGUAUUAUGUUCACUGGCUUUUUAUAUA